RNAcentral lists this long non-coding RNA (1651 nucleotides) under Bemisia tabaci. RNAcentral describes it as "lncRNA ENSSSA1NGG009031". Lineage: Eukaryota; Metazoa; Arthropoda; Insecta; Hemiptera; Aleyrodidae. The record is from RNAcentral.
UGUUUGAUGACACUGUGAUCAUACGUUUCUAAUCUCAGGUGACGCCAUGACUCUGCGUCACACAGAGUAUUCUCAUUACAAAGGGAAAAAGUUCAUCAUAGGCACUGUUUGCCCCUUGGUUUUGGGAGUUAUGCUGUUGGGCGCCACAACUACCAAAGUGAGAAUACUCUGCACAUAGCCGAGUUAACUCAAGACGUUACCGUGGGCUAUGAUCGAAUGAGUAGUAUGAGAACCAACUUGUGUCAGUAGAAGAACUGUCCGUUGACACCACGCUACGUAAUUGGUCGAUCCUGCCCCACACAUUGGAAAAUCAUCCAACACCCGGUUAUCACGGUUCUGACGAUUUAUCGGACAACUUUCAUACCACUGUGGGCCGCCACGGCCACAUUUUGGGAACCCCCGGCCGUCGCCGCUGUAGCUGCGUAGUUGAGCCGAUCGUCCGGUAGGUAGCGCCACCGUGUAGAUCCCGCGCUUUGCUCCACGGCGAGAAGAGGCGGUGUUUCUUCCCAGCUCACUCUGUGGCGGGGCGCGGGGGGACCAACAGAAAGACAACUCCCGUGUAUUUACCGUGCCUUCUCCAGCCUAUCACUGUCUCUCUCUUGGCCUGUCUCUCUCUUCGGUUUUCGUCUCUUUCCCUUGUACUCGGUCGGCUUGACGAGUAGUUUUCUCUCCGGCCCGAUCCCCCUAUUCCCGCUCCCGCGCGGCGUACCCCAGCCCCUCUCUCCCUCCCCCUCGCGGCUUCGGAAAUACCGAAUGCCGGUUCGCCUCCUCCCAACCGGGCGUCUCCACGCCAUUCAUGUGUUAGUCCGCGCUUGGAGAGUACCUCGCCCGUGCUUUUUCGCGCUCACUUUCCUCUCUCUCCUUGUUUUCACCGGUUUGUUUACACUGAAAAUUUCCUCCAGUACCCACUCCGGAAAAUUUUGUGCGUCCCUAGCUUACAGAGACUCAUAGCUCCUCGGUAGUUGUGCGCUAAGGCGAAUUCGGGUCUGUCGGAGUUUGGCCAGCGCUGUGGCAAGUGUUGCGAAGGGACUAAAAUGACGCUGCCGAACGACGCCGAACAGGACGAGCGAGGCGAUCAAGGCGCCUGCGGGCCCAACGCCUCCAACACGGCCCCCUCGGCCGAGGAAUACAACGGAUACGGCAGCCUUAACUCCAGAAGCAGGUACACUCCCACUUCAUAUCCGAUCAUUGAUAAGCAAGCUUGUUCACUAAUUUUUAAAGGGACAGAUGUGUUAACAGGGUGUCUACAAGUCCGGAAUUUCCCGGAAGUCCGGAAAUAGUACUGAUUUUUUAAGAGCGGUCCGGAAGUACUGAAAAAGUGCGGAAAAUCCGCAAGAAGGCCCGGAAUUGUUGUCAUUUUUGUCGCAAUUUAUGCGAGAAAUUCAAAUUUUUGAAAUUUUUCGAAUUUUGUAAUUGGAGGUACUGAAAAAGUACUGAAUUUUUCUGUUGAGGAGAUACUGAAUUUCUUGGGAAUGUACUGAAAAAGUACUGUAAAAUUACUGAUUUUUGGUCAGCCUGCAUUAGUAGACACCCUGGUUAAUAUUGUUUCGAUCAUUUGGACCGCGUUAACCAGAAAGGGACCAAGACUCAUCAGCUGUUGCCAAAUUUAAGUGUGCAAUUUUAUUUUUUUACGAGGGAACGUUUGUGCGGA